RNAcentral lists this ribosomal RNA (446 nucleotides) under uncultured bacterium. Its description in RNAcentral is "partial 16S ribosomal RNA". It matches the Rfam family "Bacterial small subunit ribosomal RNA", at positions 338 to 795 of the family's 1533-position model. The record is from RNAcentral.
CCUACGGGUGGCUGCAGUCGAGAAUCAUUCACAAUGGGGGAAACCCUGAUGGUGCGACGCCGCGUGGGGGAAUGAAGGUCUUCGGAUUGUAAACCCCUGUCAUGUGGGAGCAAAUUAAAAAGAUAGUACCACAAGAGGAAGAGACGGCUAACUCUGUGACAGCAGCCGCGGUAAUACAGAGGUCUCAAGCGUUGUUCGGAAUCACUGGGCGUAAGGCGUGCGUAGGCUGUUUCGUAAGUCGUGUGUGAAAGGCGCGGGCUCAACCCGCGGACGGCACAUGUUACUGCGAGACUAGAGUAAUGGAGGGGGAGCCGGAAUUCUCGGUGUAGCAGUGAAAUGCGUAGAUAUCGAGAGGAACACUCGUGGCGAAGGCGGGUUCCUGGACAUUAACUGACGCUGAGGCACGAAGGCCAGGGGAGCGAAAGGGAUUAGAUACCCGAGUAGUC